Molecule: long non-coding RNA, 683 nt
Organism: Chenopodium quinoa (quinoa)
Lineage: Eukaryota; Viridiplantae; Streptophyta; Magnoliopsida; Caryophyllales; Amaranthaceae
Exons: 2
Source: RefSeq, a predicted model, not a curated record
UAACUUCAGCCUGUUCCCCUUUCACCUUCUCCUCGCCGCAGCUGCAACCACAUUUCGCGUUCCCCUUUCAUUCUCCCUCCUCAUUCACUAAUGACUCAUGGUGGUCAUGAGAGAUAACGACUGUGUGGUUUGAUUUCUAGGAUUUUUUUUGGUGUUCAUGGUAUGAGCUUCUUUAAACUUUCCCCUUUAAAUUUCAAAUUUAAGGUUUCUUUGCAUAAUUACUAGUUCAAAUCUUUGAUUUUUUUUCGAUUUCUAGGGUUUCGAUUUGUAACUGUUGGUGGUGGUGGAGAGCAGCGAUGGGAAGACUCAGCUUAUCAAUCAUUUUCUAAUCAACAAGAGUUGGUAUAUUGUUAAUUUGCCUGGAUAUGGGUGAGUCUCUGUAAUUUUGGUUUUAAUUUGGGCAAUUUCUGUAAUUCUUGAGUCUAUUUCAUGCUGGGAAUAUUGUAUACUUGUAUUGUGAAUCAAUUGUUAUUCGUGUUUAUUCCUGAUCAUAUGCUUGAAUCAUAUUGAAGUGCCAAAAAAGGAUUGCUUUUACGCCUUGAGGCAUUGCUUCAAAAUUAUUGAUCAUCCUGUAAAACAUGUUGCGGACUGAUAUGUAUUUAGGCUACAUCCGUUGUAGUUAAUUUGGUCUCCAAUCGUGUUGUUUAUUUUCAAGUUUAGGAAGUAAAUGUCUCCUUACAUGU